GGAGGGGUGGCUGAGCGGUUUAAAGCACCGGUCUUGAAAACCGGCGAAGGUGAAAGCCUUCCGAGAGUUCGAAUCUCUCCCCCUCCGCCA
Molecule: transfer RNA, 90 nt
Filed under: Pseudomonadales bacterium
Lineage: Bacteria; Pseudomonadati; Pseudomonadota; Gammaproteobacteria; Pseudomonadales
Also listed under: 1 other name
Description: tRNA-Ser
Rfam family: tRNA
About the family: Transfer RNA (tRNA) molecules are approximately 80 nucleotides in length. Their secondary structure includes four short double-helical elements and three loops (D, anti-codon, and T loops).
Source: RNAcentral